CGCCCUGUAGGGGGCAGCGGCUCGGAGGAUCGGAGUGCCCUGCAGGGCAGUCCUCUUCCUUCCCUCCCCGCUGGAGCGGAGCCCUCACGGCAGGCAGCAGGAGGCGGCGCAGCGGGAAGGGUCGCGUGGCAGCGCCCCUGCUGUCACCCUGGCCGCCCCUUUCUCUCUCUCUCCCGCCCGCUCCCUCCUCCUCCCCUCCCCCCCAGCCGGUCCCCCUGCACCCGCGCUCCGGCCACGCCGCAGCACACCGGGCAACGAACCCCGCUGUUGCUGUCCUCAGGCAUUCUGUGCUGGCAACAGUCUUGGCGUCCCUGGGUGGGCUUGAGGCUGAAAUUUAGCCUUGCCCGGACCCCUCUCGGAGGUCGACAGAUUGCGGCGGCGACCGACGCCCAGCGCGCACUGGUGACUUUACUGGGAGCCUCGGCGGAGACGUGGUUUGGUCGACCCCAGAGGGCACAACAGUGCAACGCACUCGAGCAGUGGAGAAACAGCUGCGGGCGAUGGUGGGGAACCGGUCCCGUGGAUAAGGUAUACCAGAGAUUUGCAGCCUCUCCCGCUGGAUGCCCCUGUCCACUCCUUGCAGCCAGGCGAUUCCGUUCUCGUUCGGACCUGGAAGGAUGAGCCUCUCCAAGAGAAGUGGAAGGGACCCCACACCGUCCUGCUGGUCUCCCACACAGCAGCAAAGGUCGAGGGACACAAGAACUGGAUUCGUCACUUCCAUCUGAAGGCAGUGCCUGCUCCUGAACGGUGGACUAUCCAGCCUACGGAAAAGGACUACCAGCGACAACCUGGGACUUAAACUGUUAUUCAAAAAAACCAAUAAGAUCUGCUGGGAAUGCCCUGUGGUCUCUUUGGACAGUCGCAGCGCACUCCCCGCGAAAACUCUAAGCGUUGGUUGUGUUUACUCUCACAGGGCCGGUCUAACCUGGUUUUCAAUUCCCUUUGAAGUUGGUUGCCCGACCUAGGAGGACUGGGGGGUGGCCUUGGGCGUCUCCUCUUCACAGGUGUGGUACUGUGCCUGGUCACCCUCCUCCUGAUUGCUUGUUUUAAGAUGCUCCUCCGUAAGCUUUGUGCCCCCCCCCCGUUCCUCAAAAAUCCCAGCAUACCCUCUCAUUGAAAACCCCAGCUUCAUAGCACUUAAUCAUAUCUUGUCCACAGAAUAUGAGAAAACUCAGCCAAAGGCUUGUUGAGUAUUCUCAAAGGGGGGAGUUGUUGGUGUCACUAGACAUAACCCUAGGUAACUCGGGAGGGUGGAAGGCCACUAAGUGUCAAUGAAGCCUUCCUGCACUAGGCCUAUAUGAACCAAACUUCUUCCAUGUUUAAACUCUAAUCAACCUCAAAAGCCAGGUGCAAUUGGAAUAUGUAAGCAACCAGUUAUCUGUGUGCAACCCCCUGCUCACACCGGUAUCAAGUGGUAAUAAUGAGGCCUGCAUGGCGCUAAGCACACCAGGCAACGAACCCCGCUGUUGCUGUCCUCGGGCAUUCUGUGCCGGCAACAACAGUAUAUAACAAAAUCCUCCACCUCAAUUUUGCACAGCUGAAUAAGGGCAUCUCAUGGUACCAAUCCCUGCACUCACAUUUCAAUACAGUGGCAGAAAGGGAGCAGAAAGGAGAGAAGAGGGGUGUUGAUUUCCCCCACGCUGCACUGGACCCAAGAGCAGGAUUGGUGAGCCAAGAGGAGCAAUCUGCUCCAUCUUAAUGCAUGGAGCAGACUGUGCAGGUCCGGUGUGUCACAUGCAGCCUAGGAAAAAUUGUGCUUCAGUCUAGCCUUGCACAGCUUAGUGCAAAAGAGCAAAUUAGUGGAACAACUUAGCAGAAACAACAUACAGUCAAGCAAGUCUUUGCUCCGAAUGCAUAUUUGUAAUGUGAAAAGGUGAACAAAAACAUAAAAGAAAAUGAAAUAAAAUGCCCCCAAGGUGGGGGUCCAACCAUU
Molecule: long non-coding RNA, 1933 nt
Organism: Malaclemys terrapin pileata
Lineage: Eukaryota; Metazoa; Chordata; Testudines; Emydidae
Exons: 3
Source: RefSeq, a predicted model, not a curated record